This 430-nucleotide long non-coding RNA is filed under the name Citrus sinensis (sweet orange). Its description in RNAcentral is "long non-coding RNA (CSIN_LNC000454)". Lineage: Eukaryota; Viridiplantae; Streptophyta; Magnoliopsida; Sapindales; Rutaceae. The record is from RNAcentral.
ACGGGCAUACAAGCAGGAAUGAAUUCAUUUUCAUUUGUUUUGUUUAAUUUAUUUUCGCUUUUGAGUUUUGGGAAGGUAAACCAUAUCCAAAAGAUAAUGAAGUAGUUUCUUACAUAAAACACAAAUCUAACCCAUUUUUAUUAUUUACCCAACCCAAAACAAAUUUAUUUUGGUGUCGCAGUCUACAGUCUACUUAGAAAGUAAUUUUAAGUCUAAAAUUAGUUGUAAAUAUCUAGUUUUAAGACGAUUUUGCAGGAGUGUAAAUCCCCCCCCCCCCCCCCCCUUUUUUUUUUUUUUUUUUUUUUUUUUUUUUUUUUUUUUUUUUUUUUUUUUUUUUUUUUUUUUUUUUUUUUUUUUUUUUUUUUUUUUUUUUUUUUUUUUUUUUUUUUUUUUUUUUUUUUUUUUUUUUUUUUUUUUUUUUUUUUUUUUU